Molecule: long non-coding RNA, 1225 nt
Filed under: Phasianus colchicus (ring-necked pheasant)
Lineage: Eukaryota; Metazoa; Chordata; Aves; Galliformes; Phasianidae
Description: lncRNA (ENSPCLG00000017717.1)
Source: RNAcentral
GGGGAAAUAAGGGGGUUAUAGGGUAAUGGGGGGGUAAUGGGGGAAACGGGGUUAUGGGGGAAAUGGGGUUAUGGGGAGGUUAUGGGGCGGACGUGGGGGUUAUGAGGGGAAAUGGGGUUAUAUGGACCAUUUUGGGAUCCUUGAGGCCAUUUUGGGGCCAUUUGGGGUCAUUUUGGUGCAGUUCUGGUCACUCACCUGCUUGUUGCAGUGCUCAGAUUCCUCAAAACCCCAUUUCUGAAAUCCCACCUCCCAUUCUGGGGCCAUUUUGGAGCCAUCUGGGGCCAUUUUGGGCCAUUUUGGUGCCGUUUGGUGCCAUUUUGGGGUCGUUUUGGGGCCGUUGUGGUCGCUCACCUGCUUGUUGCAGUGCUCAGAAUCCUCAAAACNNNNNNUCCCACCUCCCAUUCUGGGGCCAUUUUGGGCCAUUUUGGAGCCAUUUCGGGGCCAUUUGGUGCCAUUUUGGGCCAUUUUGGUGCCGUCUGGUGCCAUUUUGGUGCCAUUUUGGGCCAUUUUGGUGCCAUUUGGGGUCAUUUUGGGGCCGUUGUGGUCGCUCACCUGCUUGUUGUAGUGCUCAGAAUCCUCAAAACCCCAUUUCUCAAAUCCCAGCUCCCAUUCUGGGGCCAUUUUGGUGCCAUUUUGGACCAUUUUGGUGCCAUUUGGUGCCAUUUUGGGGCCAUUUUGGUGCCAUUUUGGGCCAUUUUGGUGCCAUUUUGGGCCGUUUUGGGGUCGUUUUGGGGCCGUUGUGGUCGCUCACCUGCUUGCUGUAAUGCUCCGAAUCCUCUAAACCCCAUUUCUCAAAUCCCACCUCCCAUUUUGGUGCCAUCUGGGGCCAUUUUGGAGCCAUUUUGGUGCCGUUUGGUGCCAUUUGGUGCCGUUUGGUGCCAUUUUGGGCCAUUUUGGUGCCAUUUUGGGCCAUUUUGGGGCCAUUUUGGUGCCAUUUGGGGCCGUUUUGGGGCCGUUUGGUCGCUCACCUGCUUGUUGUAGUGCUCAGAAUCCUCUAAACCCCAUUUCUCAAAUCCCACCUCCCAUUCUGGGGCCAUUUUGGGCCAUUUUGGAGCCAUCUGGGGCCAUUUUGGGGCCGUUUGGUGCCAUUUUGGUGCCAUUUUGGGCCAUUUCCGUGCCAUUUUGGGCCAUUUUGGUGCCAUUUUGGGGCCGUUUGGUCGCUCACCUGCUUGCUGUAAUGCUCCGAAUCCUCUAAACCCCAUUUCUCAAAUCCCACCUCCCAUUU